ACGUAGGUGGCAAGCGUUGUCCGGAAUUAUUGGGCGUAAAGCGCGCGCAGGUGGUUAUAUAAGUCUGAUUUUAAAGUUCGGGGCUCAACCCCGUGAUGGCUUGGAAACUUUAUAACCUGAGUACAGUAGAGGUAAGCGGAAUUCCCAGUGGAGCGGUGAAAGGAGGAGAUAGUGGGAGGAAAACAAGAGGCGAAGGAGGAAAACGGGGAAGAAAAAGACACGGAGGAAAGAAAGAGAGGGGAGAAAAAAG
RNAcentral lists this ribosomal RNA (250 nucleotides) under uncultured prokaryote. Its description in RNAcentral is "partial 16S rRNA". It matches the Rfam family "Bacterial small subunit ribosomal RNA", at positions 525 to 775 of the family's 1533-position model. The record is from RNAcentral.